AUAAGGCAAUAGGCAACACGUUGCCUUCGCUUGCAAGCAAAGACGCUAGCUCAAUCUUAGCGGUUGGUCGGUUUCGCACUCAACCUCAGUGAACCCUUGACGACCUUACUAGCAAAGUUGCAAGCUCUCGAUCGAGCUCCGAGCAAAGCCCAGUUCUCACACCAGAUCACAUGGAUAACCGGAGAGAAGAAGGCCCCGCCGAUGCCCGCGGCCUCGUCCGCGCGGGCGUCGUCCUCCUGACCGUGACCUGCGCCGCGGCCGCCUACAGGUCGGCGGCGGCAGGGGACGUCGGCUCCGUAGCUUUCGUGAUCGUCACCUACGGCGCGCUCCUCCUGCUGCUCCGCUUCCUCCGCGCCUACGAGCUGGUGAUGGCGGCGCCGGAGGCUGCCGCCGAUGAUAGAGUGCGGCUCAUCAGGCGCAAGGGUAUUUGGUUUGGGCAUCGAUGGAGGAAGGGUGUGAAUUAAGCCCCAAUAAUGCAUACACGGGAUGCCAUGGUACCUGUUUGUUUUCUUUAAAAAAAAUUGUUAAUUACCAUGGACAUAAUUAUGUGAUUGGCUGAUGGUACGGUGAAGGACAUGGACUUUGAUUGAUUUUAAUGUAAAUACGGUGGUUCGAACAACCGGGGGUACGUGUGCAAAAUGGCGUGAUAAUGUAGUGUUUUCGAUGCAACAAUCAAUAUAAGCUACUCUUGAUUUGUGGUUCUGUAAUGUUGCUUGUGUCAAUUCAAUUCAUGUAAUUGUUGGAAAGUAAAACAUCGUAACUAGGGUAUUUCCCUACGGUCU
Molecule: RNA transcript, 782 nt
Organism: Setaria italica (foxtail millet)
Lineage: Eukaryota; Viridiplantae; Streptophyta; Magnoliopsida; Poales; Poaceae
Exons: 3
Source: RefSeq, a predicted model, not a curated record